Branchiostoma floridae (Florida lancelet) is the source of this 1241-nucleotide long non-coding RNA. RefSeq lists it as uncharacterized. The record is from RefSeq and is a predicted model, not a curated record. Lineage: Eukaryota; Metazoa; Chordata; Leptocardii; Amphioxiformes; Branchiostomatidae. The transcript is spliced from 4 exons.
GGACCGAACGGCAGGAGACAAUUGGGACCGAACGGAAGGUGACGACUAUGUUCACAGUGAUGAACAUCAGGAAGACAGCCGCCGAAGCGAAGGCCCACUGCUGGGCGGAGGAGAAUGGACAUCUGGCUGAUAUCAAAAGCACAUUCGUCGCGGAUUACGUAAAGAAAGCCAUAGCGGUAUACGGCAGUGAGUCCGAAGACUACUGGAUCGGCCUUGAACAUGCUACGGGGAGCGGUGGCUGGGCAUGGGCGGACGGAACUCCUCUGCCGUCCUACGACUACACGGCCUGGAGCUCCGGAGAGCCAGGUGACAUCGGAUAGCAGUGCGUCUUGCUGAAGGCAGCAGCCGACUUCCAGUGGGACAACGCUUGGGUGCAGCGAGAGGAAGUAUUUCAUCUGCCAAACAGGACCGGGAGAUACGGACGCUUGCGGGGACAGUCAGCACGAGAAGUAGAAGCUGAUAUUGCCGACCCGGAAAACGCCUUCGAGUUCAGCGCGGUUCGGGAGGAGGAGGACCCGGAUGUGGAUGAGGACCCGGAUGUGGAUGACGACCUAGCUGAUGAAAUCCCGCGAGAGAUGGGCGAGACUUGGGAGGAGCAGGAGGCUGAUGACGUCAGCGAGGAUGAGGUGGAUGAAGACGCCAUCUUGGAAGAGAUCGAUUGGCUCGUGGAGGAGUUGAGGGAGAUUAUUGAGGAGAAACAGAUGGAUAUGGGGGAAUGACUUUAUGAGAUUAGAAAUAAUAGAAAGUUAUAACAGAAUCAUCCAAGAGUAAAAAUUAACAGCAAAAAUAGAAAAGUGAAAGUUAUCGGUGAAAGUAACAAACUUCUGUUUUUCUCCAUUCAUUUUCUAUAGUGAUAGAACAUGUGCUGUUCUUUCAAAGUGUUCUGAGAAAUUUCUAGAUGACAUAUUAUAUUACAUUAAAACAUACAAAGGUUAGCUUUAGCUUUUCAGUGCACUGUCAUGAAUGGUGGAGAAAAUCUGUAGCCGGGAGAAAGAGAGAGAGAGAGGGAGGAAGAGAUGGGAAAAGAGAGAGAGAGGGAGGAAGAGAUGGGAAAAGAGAGAGGGAUCUGGAGAGACAGACAGGUAUUAAGAGAGAAAAAGGGAGAGAGCGAAAGGGAGAGAGAAGCAUAACGAUGGAGAGGGAGUGUGGUUGUAAUGACAGGACAUGUUAGUUAAAUUUAAGUUACGUUACGACAUCAUUCUCGGUGAUAAAAGUAAAUAUAGUUUGCUGCGUAACUGAUA